ACUUUAGUCAUGAUUAAGUAUGAACCAAAAUAUGAAUUCAUGUACACAAAAUUCUUUGAUGAUCUCAGCUCUAAGGACCACUUGCACAACUCCUACUUAGAGAACUAUCUUUUGACAUGCAAGUAAGACUUCUAUAAGAUUUUCUCUUGAUAGAUCAAAUCAGUGUACUCAUACCUUAAUGAGCACCUACAUCUUUGUAUUAGUGUCCCUACAUAAGUGGGUGUGAGAUCAUCCACUUUUUUCAUCGAGCAUACAUAGGAUGUUCUAGUCUUUUCGGAUUCAUUGAUCUUCGACUCAAUGAUCCAACAACUAGGAUUAUUUUAGAUUAGGAUUUUAGAAUUUUAGAUCUCACUGACAUAAACCUUACAUGUCUAUAAAACUAUUGUCCUAAUUUAUGAAGUUUAUCAUAAUCUUAAAAGGUAUUAAGACACAGCAAAUGAAGAAUCAUAAAAAUAUCUUUUUAUUAUUAAUUAAUAAUAAAUAUUAUAUAUGAGUUGAGAGUAAUUACAGAAAAGAUCCUAUCUCAUAUCAAAUGCGAUUGGCUUAUGAGGCAUAAUUCUUUCAGACAAAAAGAGGGAGACAAGACUAAUUUAGCAUAUUAGAGCAUAAUACUUUGAAAAUAAACCGUGAAAUAUUAACAUCUAAACAGUGAACAUUAAAAAUUUCAAUAAGACUUUGAAAAUGAAUAAUGAAACAUUAACAUAUGAACAUUAUAAUCUAAAUAGUGAACAUUAAAAUUUAAUUUGAAAAUCACCUCAUAAGAAGCAUUAUUGAGGGGGA
This 780-nucleotide long non-coding RNA is filed under the name Elaeis guineensis (African oil palm). Its description in RNAcentral is "long non-coding RNA (EGUI_LNC050415)". The record is from RNAcentral. Lineage: Eukaryota; Viridiplantae; Streptophyta; Magnoliopsida; Arecales; Arecaceae.